CCUGGCUCAGGACGAACGCUGGCGGCGCGCCUAACACAUGCAAGUCGAACGGAGUUGUGUUGAAAGCUUGCUGGAUAUACAACUUAGUGGCGGACGGGUGAGUAACACGUGAGUAACCUGCCUCUCAGAGUGGAAUAACGUUUGGAAACGAACGCUAAUACCGCAUAACGUGAGAAGAGGGCAUCNCUCUUUUUACCAAAGAUUUAUCGCUGAGAGAUGGGCUCGCGGCCGAUUAGGUAGUUGGUGAGAUAACAGCCCACCAAGCCGACGAUCGGUAGCCGGACUGAGAGGUUGAUCGGCCACAUUGGGACUGAGACACGGCCCAGACUCCUACGGGAGGCAGCAGUGGGGGAUAUUGCACAAUGGGGGAAACCCUGAUGCAGCGACGCCGCGUGAGGGAAGACGGUUUUCGGAUUGUAAACCUCUGUCUUUAGGGACGAAAAAAUGACGGUACCUAAGGAGGAAGCCACGGCUAACUACGUGCCAGCAGCCGCGGUAAUACGUAGGUGGCAAGCGUUGUCCGGAAUUACUGGGUGUAAAGGGAGCGUAGGCGGGGAGACAAGUUGAAUGUCUAAACUAUCGGCUUAACUGAUAGUCGCGUUCAAAACUAUCACUCUUGAGUGCAGUAGAGGUAGGCGGAAUUCCUAGUGUAGCGGUGAAAUGCGUAGAUAUUAGGAGGAACACCAGUGGCGAAGGCGGCCUACUGGGCUGUAACUGACGCUGAGGCUCGAAAGCGUGGGUAGCAAACAGGAUUAGAUACCCUGGUAGUCCACGCCGUAAACGAUGAUUACUAGGUGUGGGGGGACUGACCCCUUCCGUGCCGGAGUUAACACAAUAAGUAAUCCACCUGGGGAGUACGACCGCAAGGUUGAAACUCAAAGGAAUUGACGGGGGCCCGCACAAGCAGUGGAGUAUGUGGUUUAAUUCGAAGCAACGCGAAGAACCUUACCAGGUCUUGACAUCGAGCGACGAACCAAGAGAUUGGUUCUUCCUUCGGGACGCGAAGACAGGUGGUGCAUGGUUGUCGUCAGCUCGUGUCGUGAGAUGUUGGGUUAAGUCCCGCAACGAGCGCAACCCUUAUCAUUAGUUGCUACGCAAGAGCACUCUAAUGAGACUGCCGUUGAUAAAACGGAGGAAGGUGGGGAUGACGUCAAAUCAUCAUGCCCCUUAUGACCUGGGCUACACACGUACUACAAUGAUGAUCAAACAGAGGGAAGCAACACAGCGAUGUGAAGCAAAUCCCGAAAAAUCAUCUCAGUUCAGAUUGCAGGCUGCAACUCGCCUGCAUGAAGUCGGAAUUGCUAGUAAUCGCGGAUCAGCAUGCCGCGGUGAAUACGUUCCCGGGCCUUGUACACACCGCC
RNAcentral lists this ribosomal RNA (1361 nucleotides) under uncultured bacterium. RNAcentral's name for it is "bacterial SSU rRNA". It matches the Rfam family "Bacterial small subunit ribosomal RNA", at positions 18 to 1394 of the family's 1533-position model. The record is from RNAcentral.